GACGAACGCUGGCGGCGUGCUUAACACAUGCAAGUCGAACGGAAAGGCACUGCGUUUGUGGGGUGCUCGAGUGGCGAACGGGGGAGGAACACGUGAGUAACCUGCCCUUGUCUUUGGGGUAACUUCAGGAAACUGGGGCUAAUAUAGGAUAGGAGCUCCUGCUGCAUGGUGGGGGUGGGAAAGUUUCGGCGGUUGGGGAUGGACUCGCGGCUUAUCAGCUUGUUGGUUGGGUAGUGGCUUACCAAGGCAUUGACGGGUAGCCGGCCUGAGAGCGUGACCGGCCACAAUGGGCCUGCGGUACGGCCCAGAGUCCAACGGUGGGCAGCAGUGGCGAGUAUUGCCCAAUCGGCGGACGCCUGAUGCAGCGACGCCGCGUGCGUGAUGACGGCCUUCGGGUAAUAAACCGCUUUCGCCUGUGACGAAGCUUGAGUGACGGUAAUGGGUAAAGAAGCACCGGCUAACUACGUG
RNAcentral lists this ribosomal RNA (468 nucleotides) under uncultured bacterium. Its description in RNAcentral is "partial 16S ribosomal RNA". It matches the Rfam family "Bacterial small subunit ribosomal RNA", at positions 28 to 507 of the family's 1533-position model. The record is from RNAcentral.